Dicentrarchus labrax (European seabass) is the source of this 1133-nucleotide long non-coding RNA. RefSeq lists it as uncharacterized. The record is from RefSeq and is a predicted model, not a curated record. The transcript is spliced from 2 exons. Lineage: Eukaryota; Metazoa; Chordata; Actinopteri; Moronidae.
CCACGCACAGUCACACACACUGCAUUAUAUUCUCAGUUCAUGUUCAGUGGGGUUUAGAAGAUUUCCAUUAAAGGAGUCAGGAUCACAGCUAGCAUGUGGGUGGUACUUGUGAACUCCAGCAUAGCGCCGACAGCUGUCACUUCAGUCUGAGUGUGCCUUUAUAUAUAAAUCUGGGUCCAUUUUUUGGGGGGGUUUAAUAUGAUUGGUGAGUCAUCUCAAGUGUCAUGGGUUUAUUACGACACAAGUCUUAUUUGAAUUGUUUUAUGAUUGCUUCCAUCGGUUAUGAUAAGAUUGUAAGCAACAAGGCAUCAAAUACAUCACUUGCUGUUUCCGAAAGUAGACAAAGAAAAGUUUUGAACUAAAAAUACUGUAUUGGCCCGAAUAUAAGACAGAUUAGUCCUGUUGGGGAAAGUAUGUACAGAGAUUUAAAUUUAUCUCCCCGGUGGCAGCAAAACCAGUUCCACAAACACUUCUAUAAAGCUGAAUAACUCCACAAACAACCCCUGAUGGGUCUUUCCUUUCUAGAAACGUAUUCUGCCCAUUACGGUACCUCGCCUCUGUCCACAUGUUAGACUGCUAAAUGUUCACAUCUCUUAUUCUGUUCAGGGCACAUCUCAGCUCAGCUGUUUGUAAUCUAUGUUGACAUAACAUUUAAGCUCUUCUAUUGAGACAGCCAAUUAAAUGUUCCUUUUUCUUGAAAAUUUAGGAGGAGAGAGGGAGAAAAAACUCCAUUAAAUUCUAGUAAGCGAGUGUUGUUGCCGUCGCUGUGAUAACGAAGUGUGUUUAUUUUUAGGUGGUAGACAGCUGGCUGAUCUUAUCAGUGUCACUUUUCCAUUCUAUCUACAAGCAUCACGCCGAAGCGGAAAGCUCUUAAUCAUUCCUUUUGGUUUCCAAAAUCUGUCCCCAUUUUCUAACAAUCUUCCUUUUCUGUUUUCCCUUUUUCCUUCUCUCGGCCCCUCUUCUCUAUUAAUUUAUACCGUCCUGUCUUUCAUUAAUCCUUUUCUCUCCUCAUUUGUUUCUUGAAACCCAUUCUUCCUUUUCUUCUUUUUUUUUCCUCCUUCCAUCCUCUCUGCCUUCUCUCUCUCUCUCUCUCUCUCUCUCUCUCUCUCUCUCUCUCUCUCUCUCUCUCUCUC